AGGGGCCGGGGUGGGAACGCCCUUCCCUGCGGGCUCCACCCAAGUGCAAGAGCCACUGGGGAUGUCAGGGAGAGUGGGGAGCACAGCCAAUCAGGGACAUCGCCAGCAGCACUCCUGCCCCGGGGCAGGCCCCUUCACCACCCCCCCCCCCCAGAGACUUCAGCCAAAGGUCCCGAGUUCAGGUCUAGUCAUUCUGCCCUUUUGUGUCCUUAGGGCAAAAUCAAGGCUGGGCACAAAGACGUCACCGUAAGAAUUCUUGUUACCAAGAAUGCUCUUCCUCAUGGCCCCAUAUAGGAGCCAACUCAGUGCUCCUAGAGAAAUUGUAGUUCCUCCAGGAUAGAGAACUGGGCAGCCAUGUAAAAUGACUCAGCAGAAGAUCGUUUAUUGACAUGGAAUAUUUGCCACUCCGUCCCGUGUGCGGGUAGACGAUGAGCGCACGGUGGGGUUCUGCGUGUCUGUGCAGGCGAGCGCUGAAAGAAGACAGCACGGGACGGUAACCACAGUGGUUUUGGGGAGUCCAGGCAGCUGGCCUCUGGCCUGGGGGUGUCAGCAAGACCCCUGGUGUCACCACGAGUGCAGGUAUUGAACGCAGGAACCCUCCCCCCAGGGGCCCAUCAGUGCCCGGUGGCUGGAGAAGAGAGCAGGGGUGGGCGUGAGAUGACCUAAACAGGCCUGGCAGGAGGGCCAGGGGAAUGGCCACCAAGAGCAGGGUGGAGAGACCACCGUGCCUCACUCCCUCCAAGGCUGGCAUCCGGUAUGGCAGGGCCACAGGUUAAGAAGCUGGAAGACCCCCCCACCACCACCAGCUGGUGAAGAUCUGCUGCCCCGAUGAAUCCUCCUCCCUGAGGCCCCCAGACUCCCCACACGGCUGAGGGGCUCCCACCCUGCUCGGGAGUCGUCCCUAGGUGGCCCCAACAGCCCUCCCCUGUGCCCUACAAGUGCCCCCCGGGACUCUGCUGCAAACCAGGCAGCUUGGCAGGGCCAGGGGCGUCCCCUACACUGAGAAGACCCUGGCUCAACCUCCCUGGACAGCCAUCAGGUCUUGUCCAUGGGGAGCAUCGGGGGCUUGGGACAGAAACUUGUUCUCAAGUGGAGCAAAGCGAAGCAGGUGAUUUUGCCACGGUCCUGGGUUUUUUUCCUGCUCAUGUUGGCACAGGAGCUCAGCAGAGUGGGGACCUGGGGAGAGGCUCUUGUUAAGGCCCCUCUAGGACCGUCACCUGGAUUACAGGAAGAGCCGCCAGCGCACAGCUCAUGCGGGGCUGAUGAUUACAGAGCCCUCGCCGCACGCCAUGUUCUCUCGGCCAUCUGGGCCUCUCCGCAGCAGGACAAAGCUCAGAGGUUUCUCUGAGGCUCAGAGCUGGGACUUAGGGCCGCCGCAGAGGAGUGGCGGACGUCAUUCGGUCCACAGUAGCACCGGAGUGGGGCCAGGAACACAUUUGCCUCGCUGACACCUGCCAGCGUCUGUGGGUUGAGGCUGCUUCCUGGGGGUGCGCGGCCCACGCCGCAGACCGUCUGGGCUGGGAGCCCCUGGGUAAUGGGAUAUGCAGAUGCGUGCGCCUUUGCCAGGCAGAAUGGCAGGACUCUUCUCCAGGCGAGGCAAUUUACAGCAAAAUAUGCUGUAAAUAUUUGUUCAGCCCAGGAAAAUGACUUUAAUUGCAUAAUUAAACUCGUUGUAGAUGCUGCUUCCGGACAAAACGAUGGGGGAGAAGAACUGAGCCCACAGCUGUCCCUCCGAGCUUCCUGACUGGAGGGACAGGCUGCUCUUCACAGGCUGCGCUGGGGCCUGUCUUUCCACGGAGCAACGGCAACUUUGAGAACAGACAGGGAGGGCGAAGGAAAAAGCAAGGGGUGUUGAAGUGUGGAGGGAGCAGAAGAGGUCACCUACUCAGAGGACCAGUGGCGGGUGUGGGGGGCAUCCAGACCCUCAGGCAGGAUUUAGCACGGUUUCCAAAUGUCCCAUGCACGUCCCACCUUCCACAGACAGGGGCCACUUGAGCAGGUGAUGAACCCAUGUGAGGGGGAGAGGAGGGGUAGGCUGAGAGACGCCUGCUUUUAUCUAUUUAUUUAGACAUUUGCUUUAAAAAAACCAACACCCAGCACCCCCCACCAACAUAGCCUCCCGAGUACAAUCCUAAGUGAAGAAGCUGGCCACAGAGGACACAGGUGCCAUGUGCCCUGUUCAUGGGAAAUGUCCCCAGCUGGGACCGAAGGCAGGUCAGAGAUUGCCAGGGGCUGGGGAGAAACUGGGAGGGAGAAAGAGAUGCUAACGGGGACAGGGUUUAUUUGGGGGUGAUGGGAAUGCCCUAAAGUUAGAUCGUAGUGAAGUUUCCACAAUCCUGUGAAUUUAUUAAAAGCCAUUGAAUUAUGCAUUUUAAAUGGGUAAGUUUUAUGGAAUGUGAAUUAUUGCUCCAUAAAAUUGCUAAAAAAAAAAAAAAGAGGAAAAAAUACAACAACAACAAAAGUUCACUUAUUAGAAACCAGUGUCCUUCCAGGGCCGUGCUGAGGCUGGCACGUGCCAUAUGAAGGAGGGGGGGAGGGAGGAAGAAGCAAGCGCAGCAGAGAACCGAGGGGCACGGACUUCCUCAUUCAGGUCCACCGCCACUUUACUGCCAGGCCAGGGAGCCUCCUGGACCCCGAGCACUGCACACGUCACCUCAUCAAUGACCAGAGGGGAAACUGAGGCUGUAGGAGACGGAGGCUGCAAAAGCCACUUGACCAGCAGGUGGCAGAGCUGGGACCCUCAGGAGCCUCCAUCUCCAUCCUGAUGGCAUUGAUCUUGAGCCGUGGCUGUGACCCCAGAUGGGUGCUCGGCAGAGGGAAGAACUCUGGGGUCAGGAGACCAGGAAGCUCACCCAGCCCCGCCAGCCACCAGGAAGCCCACCUAGGUUGGCACGGGCAUCAGAGGGGAGGGUCUGGCGCACAUCACAGCAGUAGGAAAGGUCUAGGCACAGGGCAGGGUCCUGGACUCGGGGUCCAUCAGUGGCACGAGGGUCCCAUUUCCUCCUCCCCGUCCCUGGUAGCAGAGUCCAGUGAUGGAAGAACUCACUGCAGCCUGAGACUCCUAAAGUGCUCUGGGUGCCUUGCCUGUCCCUGAGCCUCAGCUUCCCUGGCUGCACAAGUGCUCUGUCCUGCUUCUUGGAAGUCUUUCCUUCCAAGAAGGGGAGAGUCACUUGGCUUUUUGGUGGGGCUCUUAGGUCUAGGAUUCGGGGGCGGGAGUAUAGCUCAGUGGGGAGUGGUUGCCUAUUAUGGGAGAAGCUCUGGGUUCCAUCCUCAGCACUGUCAGAAUAAAAUAAAGAGGAAGAAGAGGAACUGGAGGUGAGUGAGCCCUCGUAAGAGACCAGGCAGAGCCUGACUUCAUGGAGACGUGACAGCCAAGGCACUUUGCACCCUGAAAUCCCAUGGCACUUAGCACCCCUCCUAAAACCCCACCGCUGCCCCCACUCACCCCUUUUAUGACACCAUCUGCUCCCCAGGUACAGGCGAGAUCUUUCAGUCCCAGGCCAAGGACAUGGGGGGCAACACCCUCAUGGGCACACUCUAUGUGCCCCAGACCUUCCACCCUGGCCCACAGCCUGCUGCCCCUCUGUCUUCAGGGGCUUGAGUGACAGUUGACUCCCGCCACAGGACACUGGACUAGCUUUAAGAAAAGCCCUCAGCAUCUCGUAGGGAGGCAGAAGGGGGCCUGUUCUGCCCCCUUCCCCAUCAGGAAGACCUUGGCUGCCUGUUGCCAGGGCCCCCGUGUGAGGGGCAGCCUGCCUGGGCUGCAGGAAGGCGGCUCCCUGAACCCAGUGGCGUCCAGCCUGGGUUGCCUGGAAGUCCCCUGCCAAGGCUGAAGUUCUGGGUCUAGUUGAGCGGGCCUGGGCCGCCCAGAACUGGCUGCAGGGCACUGGUCUGGUCUGGUUGGAGCCUCCCAGGAUGAGCACAGCCCCCCAGAGUUGGCACAAACCCCUGCCCCACGUCCCGCUGGUUAAUGGAACACUGCCCUCAGAGGUGAACUCGGGGCUGGCCUGGGUGGGCGUGGAGGUCGCGGGUCCCCCUGAAGCGAGGCAAGGGCUUCAUCACCAUGAAGGACAGAGCCCAGGGAGCCAGAGGCCCCGGUGACUCAUGCGGCAGCUGCUCCCCCAUUAUGUAAAGCGGAACUCGGAGCCAUUAGCCGGCUGCAGGCUCAGGGGACGGGAGGACACUGCUGCCAUGUCGGUCUGGGAGAGAAGAGAUGGAGCCGAGAUCCACUUUCUGUCUCUCUCCUUGGGCAGAAGCACAAUCCAUCUGGGUGGCAGAAUUAAAUUUUGAUCUGUCCGAUUUCUUCCAUCACA
Marmota monax (woodchuck) is the source of this 4313-nucleotide long non-coding RNA. RefSeq lists it as uncharacterized. NCBI's taxonomy places the organism in Eukaryota, Metazoa, Chordata, Mammalia, Rodentia, Sciuridae. The transcript is spliced from 2 exons. The record is from RefSeq and is a predicted model, not a curated record.